CACCGUUGGUUAUAAGCCAGAAAACCUUGACAUGGAUUUUCAGUUCCAAUGAGGAAGCGAUCUUGCAUCUCAUUUCAUUUUUACUUUCUUUUUUCUUUUAUUUUCUUUACAUCUCAUAACCCGCGAAAAAUGAUCUGCGGCUUUUGAGAACCACCUUUAAACUUAAAGCCACGUGACCUUGCAAACGACCUCUAAUUCGGUGCUAGUAUCGUCCGUUCCUAGCUGAGUUUUACUAUAACCCCUACAUCAUUGACACGUUUGGAACACGUUCGUUGUCCGAGUGUCCAAGCGAAAGCUCAGUUAUAACGUUAAAUUCCUCGCGACUUGCUACUAAAAACCGGUAGUAAAGGAUUCCCGAAUCAUCUAAGAUAUGAUACGAACGACGACAAGUCUACGUAAUGAAUUGGCACGCGCGUUACUACGAAAUUCUGUGCGGACAAAUACCGUAAGAUCCAUGGUCAUACGAUGUCUUCACAGAAAAUAUCUGCAAAGGAUUCAGGUUCAAAAUACCUUACGUCUUACUGUGACCCCAUGGAAGCAACAAUUAAGGUAUUAUGCAGAUUAUCCGGAUCAUGUCAAAGUACAACUUCCUGCAUUGUCUCCUACCAUGGAAACAGGCACUAUUGUCAGUUGGCAUAAGAAGGAAGGUGAUAAGUUGAAUGAAGGUGACUUACUGGCAGAAAUUGAAACGGAUAAAGCGACAAUGGGCUUUGAAACACCAGAAGAAGGCUAUCUGGCAAAAAUUAUGGUAGCUGCAGGAACAAAAAAUGUCCCUAUUGGCAAACUAGUUUGUAUAAUUGUUCCAGACGAAGGUAGUGUAGCUGCCUUCAAAGAUUUUAAGGAUGAUUCUCCAGCUGCCCCAACUCCUGCACCAGCUGCUCCUACACCAUCCACUCCUCCUCCAUCACCAGUAACACCACCAGCACCAGCUGCACCAGCAGCACCAGCAGUGCCACAACCUACCCCAUCAGGGGAUAGAAUAUAUGUUACCCCAUUAGCUAAAAAACUUGCAGCUGACAAAGGCCUUAGUUUGCAGGGCUUAAAAGGUUCAGGACUGUAUGGUGCCAUAACAUCUAAAGAUUUAGAAGGUGCACCAGCUAUGGCUGUACAACCUGCUAUGGCAGCAGUAGCAGGUGCUCCAGGAGGAAUAGAUGUUCCUGUGUCCAACAUUCGAGCAGUAAUUGCUAAGCGUUUACUGGAAAGUAAACGAUCUAUUCCACAUUAUUACUUAUCAAUAGAUGUGAAAAUGGACGCUGCUUUAGAAAUGCGGGAACGAUUUAAUAAGAUGUUAGAGAAGGAGAAGGUAAAGCUUAGUGUAAACGAUAUCAUUAUCAAAGGAAUGGCGAUGGCUUGCAAAAAAGUACCUGAGGGUAACAGUGCUUGGAUGGGAGAAGUUAUUAGACAAUACAAUAAUGUUGAUGUAAGUGUAGCAGUAAGUACAGAGAGCGGUCUAAUCACACCAAUAGUUUUCGGUGCAGAUGGAAAGGGUAUAGUUCAAAUUAGCAAAGAUGUAAAAGAAUUGGCUACAAAAGCGAGGGAAGGAAAAUUACAACCACAAGAGUUCCAAGGAGGAACUAUCACUUUGUCAAAUCUAGGAAUGUUUGGCAUUAAAAACUUCUCCGCGAUUAUAAAUCCUCCCCAAUCUAUCAUUCUUGCUGUAGGUACAACUGAAGCCAGGUUAAUACCUGCCAAAAAUGAAAAAGGAUUCAUAACCUCCCAAUUUAUGUCUGUUACUGCCAGUUGCGAUCAUCGCACCGUAGACGGUGCAGUAGGCGCGCAGUGGUUAGCUGCUUUUAAGAGCUUUAUGGAGAAUCCAACGAAUAUGUUGUUAUAGUAAAUUCAACCGUUGAAAUGUUCAAUGGAGUAGUUUGAACGAGCGAAACUUAUAUGAGAAAAAAAGCAUUGUUUUGUUCAGAUGCACAUUUUGAAGGGCACACUUUAUUUCUUUUACGCAGAAGCAUCAUUGCGACACACAAUUCAGGAAUCAAGGUGUCACUAAUAUCAUUAGGCCGAAUUUCUUCCUAUUCGAUUUUAGAAAUUUUAUAUAUGUGGUUUUUCAUUGAACAUAAAGUACAAGACUGACGAUUAAUUUUAUCGUUAUAAAAACAAAAGAAACGAUUCAUCAAAUUUAAAUGUUACUUUAUUAUUUCCGUGAAAAACCACAAACUUCCCCAGCAAUAGUAGUGGCCACGUGUAAAUAUGUGUAUUUAUGAAACAAUAUUACGGCCAUCAUUUAUUGCAAUGAAUUCAA
This 2251-nucleotide unclassified non-coding RNA is filed under the name Habropoda laboriosa. RNAcentral describes it as "dihydrolipoyllysine-residue acetyltransferase component of pyruvate dehydrogenase complex, mitochondrial, transcript variant X3". The record is from RNAcentral. Lineage: Eukaryota; Metazoa; Arthropoda; Insecta; Hymenoptera; Apidae.